RNAcentral lists this ribosomal RNA (253 nucleotides) under uncultured bacterium. RNAcentral's name for it is "partial 16S ribosomal RNA". It matches the Rfam family "Bacterial small subunit ribosomal RNA", at positions 524 to 776 of the family's 1533-position model. The record is from RNAcentral.
UACAGAGGGGGCAAGCGUUGUUCGGAAUCACUGGGCGUAAAGCGCACGUAGGCGGACGUGUCAGUCAGGGGUGAAAUCCCGGAGCUCAACUUCGGAACUGCCUUUGAUACAGCACGUCUUGAGUCCGGAAGAGGUGGGUGGAAUUCCUAGUGUAGAGGUGAAAUUCGUAGAUAUUAGGAAGAACACCGGUGGCGAAGGCGGCCCACUGGUCCGGUACUGACGCUGAGGUGCGAAAGCGUGGGGAGCAAACAGG